RNAcentral lists this ribosomal RNA (876 nucleotides) under Sphingobacterium multivorum. RNAcentral describes it as "bacterial SSU rRNA". It matches the Rfam family "Bacterial small subunit ribosomal RNA", at positions 1 to 872 of the family's 1533-position model. The record is from RNAcentral. Lineage: Bacteria; Pseudomonadati; Bacteroidota; Sphingobacteriia; Sphingobacteriales; Sphingobacteriaceae.
GCUUAGAUUUUGAUCCUGGCUCAGGAUGAACGCUAGCGGCAGGCCUAAUACAUGCAAGUCGGACGGGAUCCAUCGGAGAGCUUGCUCGAAGAUGGUGAGAGUGGCGCACGGGUGCGUAACGCGUGAGCAACCUACCUCUAUCAGGGGGAUAGCCUCUCGAAAGAGAGAUUAACACCGCAUAACAUCAACAGUUCGCAUGUUCGGUUGAUUAAAUAUUUAUAGGAUAGAGAUGGGCUCGCGUGACAUUAGCUAGUUGGUAGGGUAACGGCUUACCAAGGCGACGAUGUCUAGGGGCUCUGAGAGGAGAAUCCCCCACACUGGUACUGAGACACGGACCAGACUCCUACGGGAGGCAGCAGUAAGGAAUAUUGGUCAAUGGGCGGAAGCCUGAACCAGCCAUGCCGCGUGCAGGAUGACUGCCCUAUGGGUUGUAAACUGCUUUUGUCCAGGAAUAAACCCAUAUACGUGUAUUUAGCUGAAUGUACUGGAAGAAUAAGGAUCGGCUAACUCCGUGCCAGCAGCCGCGGUAAUACGGAGGAUCCGAGCGUUAUCCGGAUUUAUUGGGUUUAAAGGGUGCGUAGGCGGCCUAUUAAGUCAGGGGUGAAAUACGGUGGCUCAACCAUCGCAGUGCCUUUGAUACUGAUUGGCUUGAAUCCAUUUGAAGUGGGCGGAAUAAGACAAGUAGCGGUGAAAUGCAUAGAUAUGUCUUAGAACUCCGAUUGCGAAGGCAGCUCACUAAGCUGGUAUUGACGCUGAUGCACGAAAGCGUGGGGAUCGAACAGGAUUAGAUACCCUGGUAGUCCACGCCCUAAACGAUGAUAACUCGAUGUUGGCGAUAGACAGCCAGCGUCCCAGCGAAAGCGUUAAGUUAUCCAC